GCUCGUAGGUGGUUUGUCGCGUUGUUCGUGAAAUCCCGCAGCUUAACUGCGGGCGUGCGGGCGAUACGGGCAGACUGGAGUACUGCAGGGGAGACUGGAAUUCCUGGUGUAGCGGUGGAAUGCGCAGAUAUCAGGAGGAACACCUGUGGCGAAAGCGGCUCACUGGACCAUUACUGACGCUGAUGCACGAAAGCUAGGGGAGCAAACAGGAUUAGAUACUCUGGUAGUCCUAGCCCUAAACGAUGAUUGCUUGAUGUGGCAGGUACCCAAUCCUGCCGUGUCGAAGCUAACGCGAUAAGCAAUCCGCCUGGGGAGUACGGUAGCAAGGCUGAAACUCAAAGGAAUUGACGGGGGCCCGCACAAGCGGUGGAGCAUGUGGUUUAAUUCGACGCAACGCGAAGAACCUUACCUGGGCUCGAAAUGUACCGGAAUCCGGCAGAAACGUCGGCGUCUAGCAAUAGACCGGUAUAUAGGUGCUGCAUGGCUGUCGUCAGCUCGUGUCGUGAGAUGUUGGGUUAAGUCCCGCAACGAGCGCAACCCUUAUCUUCAGUU
Molecule: ribosomal RNA, 552 nt
Filed under: uncultured bacterium
Lineage: Bacteria
Description: bacterial SSU rRNA
Rfam family: Bacterial small subunit ribosomal RNA
Source: RNAcentral